UACAGAGGGUGCGAGCGUUGUCCGGAAUCACUGGGCGUAAAGGGCGCGUAGGCGGUUUUGUAAGUCGGGGGUGAAAUGCUGCGGCUCAACCGCAGCGCUGCCUUCGAGACUGCAAGACUGGAGCACGGUAGAGGCGGAUGGAAUUCCCGGAGUAGCGGUGGAAUGCGUAGAGAUCGGGAAGAACACCAAUGGCGAAGGCAGUCCGCUGGGCCGUUGCUGACGCUGAGGCGCGACAGCGUGGGGAGCAAACAGG
This 253-nucleotide ribosomal RNA is filed under the name uncultured bacterium. RNAcentral's name for it is "partial 16S ribosomal RNA". It matches the Rfam family "Bacterial small subunit ribosomal RNA", at positions 524 to 776 of the family's 1533-position model. The record is from RNAcentral.